GAUGAACGCUGGCGGCGUGCCUAAUACAUGCAAGUCGAGCGAACGGACGAGAAGCUUGCUUCUCUGAUGUUAGCGGCGGACGGGUGAGUAACACGUGGAUAACCUACCUAUAAGACUGGGAUAACUUCGGGAAACCGGAGCUAAUACCUGAUAAUAUUUUGAACCGCAUGGUUCAAUAGUGAAAGACGGUCUUUCUGUCACUUAUAGAUUGAUCCGCGCUGCAUUAGCUAGUUGGUAAGGUAACGGCUUACCAAGGCAACGAUGCAUAGCCGACCUGAGAGGGUGAUCGGCCAAACUGGAACUGAGAAACGGUCCAGACUCAUACGGGAGGCAGCAGUAGGGAAUCUUCCGCAAUGGGCGAAAGCCUGAAGGAGAAACGCCGCGUGAGUGAUGAAGGUCUUCGGAUCGUAAAACUCUGUUAGUAGGGAAGAACAAAUGUGUAAGUAACUGUGCACAUCUUGACGGUACCUAAUCAGAAAGCCACGGCUAACUACGUG
Molecule: ribosomal RNA, 497 nt
Filed under: uncultured bacterium
Lineage: Bacteria
Description: partial 16S ribosomal RNA
Rfam family: Bacterial small subunit ribosomal RNA
Source: RNAcentral